This 389-nucleotide ribosomal RNA is filed under the name uncultured bacterium. RNAcentral's name for it is "bacterial SSU rRNA". It matches the Rfam family "Bacterial small subunit ribosomal RNA", at positions 29 to 424 of the family's 1533-position model. The record is from RNAcentral.
AGCGAACGUUUGCGGCGGGCCUAACACACGCAAGUCGAACGGGCUAGCAAUAGUCAGUGGCGCACGGGUGCGUAACACGUGGGUAAUCAACCCUUCAGCUCGGGAUAACGCCUUGAAAGGGGCGCUAAUACCGGAUGCGACGCGAGGAGCCUCGGCGCUUCGCGGGAAAGAUUCGCAAGGAUCACUGAAGGACGAGCCUGCGGCCCAUCAGCUAGUUGGUGAGGUAAGAGCUCACCAAGGCGAAGACGGGUAGCUGGUCUGAGAGGAUGAUCAGCCACACUGGAACUGAGACACGGUCCAGACUCCUACGGGAGGCAGCAGUGGGGAAUAUUGCGCAAUGGGCGAAAGCCUGACGCAGCCACGCCGCGUGAGCGAUGAAGGCCUCGGUC